Molecule: non-coding RNA, 5232 nt
Organism: Schizosaccharomyces pombe (fission yeast)
Lineage: Eukaryota; Fungi; Ascomycota; Schizosaccharomycetes; Schizosaccharomycetales; Schizosaccharomycetaceae
Source: the annotation of a GenBank genome assembly
UUGUUAAUGAAAAUUGUAAAUCCAAACUUCCCGGUACAAUAUUUAAGUAUCUAUUCACGUUAGAUAUUGUCAAUUUCUCAGAAAACGGGUUUUUAGGAAUUUUUACAAGCUCAGUUAUGUCGACCUGAACCUGUUUUAAUUGCAAAACCUUAGAAACCUCUGAGACCCCAAGGAGACUAGAUGGUGUAACUUGUGUAGUCCAGUUGUCCUGGCUUUUAGGAGUUUUGGAAUUCAAACUUCGAUCAGAGUACUUAUAAUUAGGAAUCUUUCGAAUUUGCAACUUUCGCUUUCUUAGAUACUUUAUUUCUUUCUGCAUAGCCAAGAAUUUUUUGAGAAACUUUUCACGCCUAAAAUUCCGAGGUUUUUCAAUACUGUUUUUACUGCGAAGGAAUGUCAACUGAGGUUCAACUUUCUCUAAUUCCUUAUUUAAUUUAUCAAUUUUUUCUUUUAAGGCGGUAUUUUCACACAUCAAUUCAUCCAAACGACCCUUCCUUAAUUCUGACUUUAAAUUCUCUUUUAAAUAACUUCCCUUUGAAUGAGGAGUAAAUUUUUUUUCACAUUCCUGCAAAACGUUGUCAACUUGCCAUACAAAUUCCUCUUCCAUAAAACUACUAUCGUCAAGCCCAGACAAUUUGCUCGUAUCUGAGUUUAACAAAGUAGUGUCAAAACUUGAUAAUUCUUCUGUUGAAAAAUUUAGCUCAUCUAGAUUUUCAGUUGUAGAUGAAGUAUAAAACGUAGCUGUCUUUGUGGGAGUAGACGAAUCAAUAGGUGUAAUGCACAAUGGGCGUGCCAAUGAUCUUUCAAAUUUUGAGGGCUCCCUACGUGAUUUUUGUUUAAUUGCUUUAGUUUUUUCCAUAAAAUUUGAUAUGUUUUCUGAUCCUUUUUUCCUUGACUUGACGACACUUGGUCUUUUCAUCACAUUCGAAGAGCAUGCGCGUACAAAUAUCCCUUUUCCUUUCUCACAUGAAAAAUAUCGUUUCCCUUUUACGCUUCCAUCAUUUUUUCCUUUUCCAUUUAACAAUUCUACGCCUAACCAAAUACCACUUUCAAAAUCAGUACUACCGGCAAAUCGAACUAUUCCUAAUUCUCCACGGAUGAGGACUUCAUCCCCGACGGACAAAUAACUCAUUUGAAAAAAAAGAAAGGCUCAGAAAGUACUUGAUAAAAUGGUUAGAAACUGUGAGAUUAGUGUGGGGAGGGGGGAACAAUGUUUGCAAUACAGGCGCGCUAAAAUCAUCACUAUGUUGCACAGUUGAGCAUGUUAAUCACCAAUGUUCAAAUCACUUUUAACACGCAUGUUAAUGUUAUUUAAGUAGAAUGAAACGAUUCUUGGGUGAAUAAACCUAUUAGUUCUUUUUGAAAGGGUGGAUAGAAAAAAACAAAUCUAGUCUAAAAAGCGUAAAUGAAUGACAAGAGCUUUUGUAUACAAAAAAUUAAUUUAAAUGAUAUUAUUACACGAGAUCAUAAAUCAUAUAUAUGACAGACAACAAAUAACUGAAGGGAGAAAGUUAAUAUGCCAUUGAAAUAAGAAAAUUCUUAUCUGAACGGCAUAAUUCAAACAGCAAUGAGCAUAAUUAUUAUUCUUCAUCCUCUUCAGAGAAUAGAUUUAACUCUUUAUUGUCAUCUUGAUUGUCUGUGAUAUCGUUAUCCUGCUUUUCUUCGAUAGUACGAGAAACCUCCUCUUCUUGAUUUCCCUCCGCGUCACUAUCCUGGUCAAAAGUAUACUCUUCGGAUAUGACUCUUCUAUUAACACGACGUUUUUUAGUUUUAUUUCUGGCAUCGCUCAAUGGUAUUUCAUCAUCUUCGCUUACUCCGCUAUCCGAGGAUUCCUGUUUCGAUUUAGAUUUACGCUUUUUUCGAUCUUUCUUUUUCUUCUUGCCUGACUGUUUUUCUUCGUCAUCAGACAAGCUCAUAUCAUCUUCAGAAGCCUUCUGCUGACUCUUUCUCCACUCCAAAACUUCUUCUUGCAUCUUUUGUCGCUCUUCCUGAAGUUGCCUCUCACGUUCUUGCUUUUCCUUAAGUAAAGCUUCUUCCUCUGCCAAUCUUCGAGCCUUCUCCUUUUCCCUUUGAAUCCUAGCAUCUUCAAGUUUGGCAGCAACACUCUUCUCAUAUUCGAUUUGCGCUUGAAUAGCGCGCUCCAAUUGACGCUUAGUAGUAUUUUUAGCCAUCUUUGCACGUUGUUCAAUACUGGUAGGAGAAUAGGGUGGAUGUUCGACAGACACCAGUUUGGUAAAAGUUUCAAUCGAUGCGUCAAGCUGUUGCAUUGCAAAGUUCAGAUCCUCAACAGUUCUACUGUUCUCGGGUUUCUGACGGAUGAGCUCACAUAGCUGGAAUUGUACAAAGGCAACGUUAAAUAAAAGGCUUGGAUUCUCGGGAUUUUUUUCUAAAGCUAAUGUAGCAUAUCGCACGGAUUCUUUUAAAUAGUCGACGUUUUUGCUUUCGCGACCACGCUGUAGCCAAACUCGGCCUAAACAGCUCAAUACACCAUAAGUAUCACUUUCUCCGGUACUAGAAUACACGGUUUCAAAUACCUCAAUAGCACGACUGAACUGUUUGAGUUCUGCAAGGCAAUUGCCAAUGUUUAUGAGUGUUGUAGCAUCCUUAAUUGCUUCACGAACCUUACUCAAAAUAAGUAGAGCUUUAGAAAAUUGCCUGUUUUGUGCUAAUAUAAUGGCAAUACCCUGGGCAGCGUGUGCGUUUUUUGGAUCAAAUUUAAUAGCUUGAUCAUAAGACUGAAUAGCUUUGAUGUAAAGUUUUUGCCUUUUUAACUUUUCACGAUCAUUAUGUACACGAAACUCUCUUGCCUGUCUCAUAUAGGCAUUACCGAGUUGAACUAGGGAGUAAAUGUCAUCGUGCCAAUGUCUAAGGGUCUGAGAGCAGUGUCUAACUUCAGGAUCUUCUACUGGGCGACGCUUUUGUUUACUCAAAUACCAACCAAAAAAUGCUCGAACCUCUAAAUUUUGAGAAUCUGCGUUCAUGAUAUGACGAAUUUCUUUAAACGUUUCCUCGUUAGGAUUGGAUAACUGAAGUAAACAUUUGCGAAUACGGGCAUCAAUAAAAGAUGGAUGUUUUUCGAGAAUCGAAACAUACGCUUCACUAGCUACAGAAGUGUUACCCAAUUCUUCUUCACAACGUGCAAGAUUGUAAUCCAAGAGCAAGCUUAAUUCAGGAUUGGCAUCUGGUAAAACGCUUUUCGCCUUGAUAAUAUUUCCAUGUGCUUCAGGAAUUAGGCCCAAAUGGUACUGCAAGACUGCAAUGUUGUUUAACAAUUCAGGACCUACAGACAUAUGAGCGCUUUCUAGAAAAUCCAGAGCUCUGGUAAGAAAUCCGAGACUUUUUUUGGUGUCCUCCUUCUCCCACAAUCUAGCCUGGGUAAUAUAGAGGUCGGAGUCAACAACCCGUGGAAGCUUUGAGCUUCCGACAAGGUUAAAGGCCCGAUCGAGCAACAUACGAGCUUUUGUAAGGUCUGGCUUCGAAUCUGAGGCAUGAAGACAACCGAGGACGACUAGAGCCUCAAAACAACUUUGAUUCUGCUCAGCAAUACGUUCAAACGUCAAUUUGGCACUGGUUAAAUCAUUUUGUAAAAUCUGAAUUUGACCGAUUCCAACGCUGGACAGCAGAUGUCGAUCAUCUGCUGCUUUGGCCUUUUGAUAACUAGCCAUGGCCUUUUCGUUAUUACCCAUUUGAUGGUAAGCACGACCCAUCCAGUAAUAGCCGUCGGCAAUCAGGCUAGAGGAAAAAGAAUUUUGAAUAACGUUCUCAGCCAACUUGAUACAGCCUUCAUAAUUUUUUUUGGAAUAAACAUAUCUUUCCAAAAUGCUAGAAGCAACAGGAUCGUUGUUUCUGGUUUUAAAUGCUCUUUGAAUAUGUUGUAAAGCUUUUCCGUAAUUUUGGACGAAACUGUCGUUAUUGACGUUUUGGAAAGCGAGAUCGUAAUAGUAAAGUCCAAUAUAGGUAUCCACCACUGUGUUUUUUGGAUCAAGCUGCUGUACACGAGUCCAAGCCGAUAAGGCAUCCGUUUUCAUAUCCAAAUUCCAAAAGCAAAGACCUAUACCAAUGCGAGGAUCGGGCUUGAACUGUGGAUUGGAGACAAGGGCACGCUGAUAAAGCUUUAAGGCGGAACGAUAAUUUCCUUUUGCAUACAAGAUUCGCGCUUUUCCAAGAAAACCAAGGAUGUUUCCUCCGGAUUUCUGCAACACAAAAUCAAAGCAGCGAGCUGCAUUUUCCAAGGACUCCUUAUCUGUGGGGUUCAAUAAAAUUCUGUAAAUUCCAUGCAGCAAGACAUUAAUUUCUGAUUUUGAGUCGAUGUUGUUGGCAGCUUCGAGGUAUGUACGUACGUUUCGUAACUGCUCGUCCCGCAAGUCUGUAUCCUUUUUAAGCAUGGCCUCUCGAGCCAUUGACAAAUAAAUGGCAGCGAUAUUGGCAUUUAGGAUGCACAGACUUUCUGAAUCUUUCAGCGUUUCCAACCCACUCUUAAGGAUUAGGAUGGCCUGUUCUCGUAAACCACGAAUGUAGUAUUCGUGAGCAAACUUCGUCCAAAAUUCUCUGGGAGCUUGUUCAUUCACCAAAAUUUCACACAACUCCGUGGCAUCGCUUGGUAAGCUAGAACAAUCGAUUUCCACCGACUGGUCCUCCUGACCAAGUAAAGGAACUUCGAUAAUUCGCGAUGCAUGGGUUUCCAAGGUAAAACCCUCCAUCUUCUACAAAUUGCCUUUUAAAGAAUACUCAAAUCUUUAAAAAAGCAAGACAAAACAAACCGCUUUGACUAAACACCUUGGUAUCAGCAACUGUAGCGGUGAAUUGAAUGUGUGCGGCUUUAGCGACACGUUCCUUUAUCGUAGCUUUGUGAGCUGAAUUCACAGCUAAAGAGCUAAUGCUAGCUAUCAGUAAGUUUCGCUAAUGUUAUGGCUUGAACACGCGCGACUGAUAAAUAGAUAAGUAAGGUGAAAACCCCGCCCCCUUCGGGAGAAAGUGUAAUUUUGCACGCUCGACAGUAGUACAAUAAACAAUAUAAGGAAACUCGUUAGAAGUCUGUAUUUGAUGAUUGUAGAAAGCAAAACAAAAAGAAGCACAAUCUAAAAACUAGUACUUGAAAGAGAAAGGAAAGUUGUUCAUAUAUAGUAGUCAGACAAGUAAUUGGAUCGUUGAACGAGUUCCCCAUUGCUUUUAGGAGAUUUCGAACGAGGGUGUCGGAAUGUGCUGCUCGGUAAACAUAGAAAAAACAAUAAAAAC